RNAcentral lists this non-coding RNA (122 nucleotides) under Glutamicibacter arilaitensis. RNAcentral describes it as "Arthrobacter arilaitensis SAM-IV sequence". It matches the Rfam family "SAM (S-adenosyl methionine) riboswitch aptamer". Rfam says of the family: SAM-IV is a mRNA element that regulates gene expression via direct sensing of S-adenosylmethionine (SAM or AdoMet). SAM-IV riboswitches share conserved nucleotide positions with the previously described SAM-I riboswitches sequence analysis and molecular recognition experiments suggest that SAM-I and SAM-IV riboswitches share similar ligand binding sites, but have different scaffolds. The record is from RNAcentral. Lineage: Bacteria; Bacillati; Actinomycetota; Actinomycetes; Micrococcales; Micrococcaceae.
AAUCACGAGUUCCACUGCUUGAGCCCUGGCUGAGUGGACGGCAACCCUCCUUCGUCAUUGUGCGGGGUGCCCCAGGUGAAGAUUCGACGCAUCUUGACCGCCAAGGUGCGUAAGCGAUGGCG